AACAACGCGAUGAGAGAAACAGUAAGCAUGACUGGUGCGCUAAGAGAAGCCCGGUAACGGUGAAACGGGAAGGCGCCUGACUGCUGAAGAUCAUUCUUGAGCGGGCUCCCCGAUUGGUAAGGGAGCAAGGUGGCACCCGUUAUCGUGCAGCGUAUGAGCGAUCGUACGUUUGAGGCUUGAUUUUUCAAGCGAACUUAGGUGGUACCACGGUGCAAGUCGUCCUAUUA
RNAcentral lists this non-coding RNA (227 nucleotides) under Limosilactobacillus fermentum. Lineage: Bacteria; Bacillati; Bacillota; Bacilli; Lactobacillales; Lactobacillaceae. The record is from RNAcentral.